UUCCUUUAUCCUCCUAUUUCUCUCCCGAUUCUUCUCUUCCGCCACAGAUCCCUUCUUCUCCCCCUUUCCUUCUUCUUCCUCUUCUCUCUCGUGGACAAAAAGGGGCAACCAAGGAGUCUCGUUUCUUCUCUUCGCCUCUGCCCCGAUUCCACUCCUUUGCCCUUGUCGAUUUUUUUCCCCUCUCCUGGUCUCGGUCAACAGGAGCUCGCCGGGAGACCAAGCAUCAAGUCGUGCCCUAGGCUCCACCCACCUCUCCUUUGUCUUACCUGUGCCCUAAUCUUUGCUCCGCUGCCCAGUCGAGCACCGGCGCCAGGACCUCACGUCGGCACAACCCACUAAUCGACCACCUGAUCUGACCCUGACCACUGUGUCCUAAUUCCCCGCUGCCAUUGCUUCGUCGAAGCAGAAUCAGCGACGGUGUCGCUAGCCACCGCAGAGGAGUUGGCAUCGCAGCCACCUAGGGCUGGCCAUCGCCCUUUUCCCUUCCUCUCUGCCCUAGCCGUCUCCACACGAUCGCCUGACUUCCUUUGUCUCUGCGUGCCAUUGUCCAUCCAUCGCCGGUGUUACCGUGCCCUAGCAGUGAUCCUCAAGGAGGAAGAUCUUGGAUCAGUUCUUGUUGUUUCCCUUAAUCGGAGCUCGGACUCCUUCCUUGCGGAGGAAAUUUAGGUCACGGUUGAGCAACAGAGCUUUGAACUCCAGCAGAUAUUCUUGCUUCCAGCAGCUGCUCACCUCGUGUCCGGAAACGAACAGCCGCUAAUUGUGCAGCAACCUUUCAUCCAGCAACACUUUGUCCAACAACAACCCUUGAGUUCCAGCAGCGGCUGAAUUAAGAUAAGGAUUAGGUGUAUUUGAAUACUUGUUGUAGAUCAUGUUCCGAAUUGGAGGAAUUGGUUAGAUGAUCAUGUGAAUCUAGGUAAGGAACAUGAUUAUGAUACAUGUUGAUUUAGGUAGGAAUUGGUACAUAUAUAAUUGCUUAUGUGUUUGGAUUAGGUGAUUGAUUAUGUAGAUGUGUAAUCAUGUGUAAAUGGAAUUAAGUUUGGGUUCUUGAUCUAAUGGUUGAUUGUGAAUUAGGUUUAUGUUAUUGUGUUAAUUAGGGGUUGUCCCUAAUUUAGUGUAAGAGAUUUUUAUUUAGCUAUUUCUAGUAAUUAGCUAAAUAAAAUGUAUAUGUAUUGGU
This is a long non-coding RNA of Zingiber officinale, 1174 nucleotides long. RefSeq lists it as uncharacterized. The record is from RefSeq and is a predicted model, not a curated record. Lineage: Eukaryota; Viridiplantae; Streptophyta; Magnoliopsida; Zingiberales; Zingiberaceae. The transcript is spliced from 3 exons.